GACGAACGCUGGCGGCGUGCUUAACACAUGCAAGUCGAACGGAAAGGCCCUGCUUUUGUGGGGUGCUCGGGUGGCGAACGGGGGAGUAACAGGUGAGUAACCUGCCCUUGACUUUGGGAUAACUUCAGGAAACGGGGGCUAAUACCGGAUAGGAGCUCCUGCUGCAUGGUGGGGGUUGGAAAGUUUCGGCGGUUGGGGAUGGACUCGCGGCUUAUCAGCUUGUUGGUGGGGUAGUGGCUUACCAAGGCUUUGACGGGUAGCCGGCCUGAGAGGGUGACCGGCCACAUUGGGACUGAGAUACGGCCCAGACUCCUACGGGAGGCAGCAGUGGGGAAUAUUGCACAAUGGGCGGAAGCCUGAUGCAGCAACGCCGCGUGCGGGAUGACGGCCUUCGGGUUGUAAACCGCUUUCGCCUGUGACGAAGCGUGAGUGACGGUAAUGGGUAAAGAAGCACCGGCUAACUACGUG
RNAcentral lists this ribosomal RNA (468 nucleotides) under uncultured bacterium. RNAcentral describes it as "partial 16S ribosomal RNA". It matches the Rfam family "Bacterial small subunit ribosomal RNA", at positions 28 to 507 of the family's 1533-position model. The record is from RNAcentral.